Molecule: ribosomal RNA, 652 nt
Filed under: uncultured bacterium
Lineage: Bacteria
Description: bacterial SSU rRNA
Rfam family: Bacterial small subunit ribosomal RNA
Source: RNAcentral
CUUCUUUUUCACCGGAGCUUGCUCCACCGGAAAAAGAGGAGUGGCGAACGGGUGAGUAACACGUGGGUAACCUGCCCAUCAGAAGGGGAUAACACUUGGAAACAGGUGCUAAUACCGUAUAACAAUCAAAACCGCAUGGUUUUGAUUUGAAAGGCGCUUUCGGGUGUCGCUGAUGGAUGGACCCGCGGUGCAUUAGCUAGUUGGUGAGGUAACGGCUCACCAAGGCCACGAUGCAUAGCCGACCUGAGAGGGUGAUCGGCCACAUUGGGACUGAGACACGGCCCAAACUCCUACGGGAGGCAGCAGUAGGGAAUCUUCGGCAAUGGACGAAAGUCUGACCGAGCAACGCCGCGUGAGUGAAGAAGGUUUUCGGAUCGUAAAACUCUGUUGUUAGAGAAGAACAAGGAUGAGAGUAACUGUUCAUCCCUUGACGGUAUCUAACCAGAAAGCCACGGCUAACUACGUGCCAGCAGCCGCGGUAAUACGUAGGUGGCAAGCGUUGUCCGGAUUUAUUGGGCGUAAAGCGAGCGCAGGCGGUUUCUUAAGUCUGAUGUGAAAGCCCCCGGCUCAACCGGGGAGGGUCAUUGGAAACUGGGAGGCUUGAGUGCAGAAGAGGAGAGCGGAAUUCAUGUGUAGCGGUGAAUGCGUAAUA